CUUCAGUGAUGAUUCGAUGAGUCGGAUUGAGGCAGCCCUCUGAGGAUUCUGGGUCAGGCUCAUGUUCUGUGAGUCUAACUUCAGUUCCUCAGAGAUCGUGUGUCCUCUUAGAUUGAAGAUUAAGGCAUUUGUCUGAGAAAGG
Small nucleolar RNA from Megalobrama amblycephala (Wuchang bream), 142 nucleotides. The record is from RefSeq and is a predicted model, not a curated record. Lineage: Eukaryota; Metazoa; Chordata; Actinopteri; Cypriniformes; Xenocyprididae.